UCGGGAAUUUUGGACAAUGGGCGCAAGCCUGAUCCAGCCAUGCCGCGUGCAGGAUGAAGGCCUUCGGGUUGUAAACUGCUUUUGUACGGAACGAAAAGACUCUGGUUAAUACCUGGGGUCCAUGACGGUACCGUAAGAAUAAGCACCGGCUAACUACGUGCCAGCAGCCGCGGUAAUACGUAGGGACCAAGCGUUGUUCGGAUUUACUGGGCGUAAAGGGCGCGUAGGCGGCAAUUCAAGUCAUCUGUGAAAUCUCCGGGCUUAACUCGGAACGGUCAGAUGAUACUGCUUUGCUAGAGUGCAGAAGGGGCAAUCGGAAUUCUUGGUGUAGCGGUGAAAUGCGUAGAUAUCAAGAGGAACACCUGAGGUGAAGACGGGUUGCUGGGCUGACACUGACGCUGAGGCGCGAAAGCCAGGGGAGCAAACGGGGAUUAGAUACCCUCGUAGUCCCUGAGCGGGCUGGCAAGGCGCAU
RNAcentral lists this ribosomal RNA (473 nucleotides) under uncultured bacterium. RNAcentral describes it as "bacterial SSU rRNA". It matches the Rfam family "Bacterial small subunit ribosomal RNA", at positions 355 to 825 of the family's 1533-position model. The record is from RNAcentral.